UACGGAGGGUGCAAGCGUUAUCCGGAUUCACUGGGUUUAAAGGGUGCGUAGGUGGGCAGGUAAGUCAGUGGUGAAAUCUCUGGGCUUAACCCAGAAACUGCCGUUGAUACUAUCUGUCUUGAAUAUAGUGGAGGUGAGCGGAAUAUGUCAUGUAGCGGUGAAAUGCUUAGAUAUGACAUAGAACACCCAUUGCGAAGGCAGCUCGCUACACUAUUAUUGACACUGAGGCACGAAAGCGUGGAGAUCAAACAGG
RNAcentral lists this ribosomal RNA (253 nucleotides) under uncultured bacterium. RNAcentral describes it as "partial 16S ribosomal RNA". It matches the Rfam family "Bacterial small subunit ribosomal RNA", at positions 524 to 776 of the family's 1533-position model. The record is from RNAcentral.